RNAcentral lists this long non-coding RNA (2940 nucleotides) under Malus domestica (apple). RNAcentral's name for it is "long non-coding RNA (MDOM_LNC003571)". The record is from RNAcentral. Lineage: Eukaryota; Viridiplantae; Streptophyta; Magnoliopsida; Rosales; Rosaceae.
CUGAAACUGGUGCUGCUGCUUCUGAGAAUGAAUCUGGAGCUGUUGAAACUGCUGUGCAGUUAGAAGAGUGUGCAUUGCUUGAUUGUUUGGAUAGAACUGCUGCUGACCCGCCGCGCCAAAAGAAGCGUAGUUCAUCAUAGGUCCACCAUUUGGCAUAGCUUGGCCAGUCAUAACUUUCAGAUGCUGAAUUUCUUCUUUCAGUGCAUUGUUCAAUGCUACGAGACAAACAAAAACAAUAAUGUUUCGGCACAAUUUCAUUCACAUAAGGAUCAAGAACCAGAAGUUACACGGAAUCCGAUCAGCAAGAAAACCUAAAUUAUAGUAUUGUACUGAUACUACACAAACAAGAUGCUACAGUCUAAUUUGAGCAAAACUUCUACAUCGGAUGCUAACCAAUACAAUCCAAUCUUGGGCGCAAAAAACGAUUAUGCGUUUCUUUGACAAAGUCCAUUUGACGUCAGGUGAAAUCAUGAUGCUAUAUUGUGUGGGGGUUUUGAUCACUCUCGAUUGCAUCGUAAUUGAGUGGAAGGCAAUAUCGUUUCGGGAUUAUAAGGAAUAUAUGCUGCACGGAGUUGACGUGACCAGCAAACAAUUUAGUGAGUGGUGCUAAAUCAUCAAGAAUAAAAGUUGACAGACGAAGUACGGUUUGGCAUUGAGGUGCUUAAAAAACAAAAGGAAAAAUAAUGAAAAUGUCUUGAAAACUUUGAGUUUUAACGAUAAGGACAAAAUAAAGGGUAAAGUGAAUAAUACUAGGUUUGACUUUUUAGUGUAAAAAUGUGGUUUUUCGUUAAAGUGAACAGUACUGCAGGCUUUUCGUUAAAACUCCCUAAAAAAAAGCUGCUUAUUUUCAAAGUUUUUAUGUUGAAGGUGUUUGGUAAACUAAAUAAAAAGGGAUUAUUUUUGGACAAUGCUAUGAGAAUAAGCUGAAAUCAUCAGAAAAGCUGAAGCAGCUAAAUGCUGCUUUGGAAAACUGGCUUUUUUUUCAAAGCACGCAGAGCUACGGUGCUCCUUUAAUGAAACUUUCUAAAGUCCAAUAACACCCUCAAACCAGAAAUGGUGCUCCUUUGCCGGUCUCCACAAAACCUAGAAACCCACUAGAAACGACUUUGCCGAUCUGCACAAGAAAUGGAAACACAAAAACCCAAAAACCCACCAGACUACCACAGCCAAAACCAGAAACGGUUUUCCUUUGCCGAUCCGCGCGCUAAACUAGCCUUAACUUUCUAAGACAUUGGAUACAAACAUCAAAACCCAAAAGCCAAAAAUUGAAUAAAUAUCAGCUUUAAGAUUUCACCGCCAUCAAUUCUAUAAUUUGAUUAAACACAAUUCCAGAAAAAUAAACAAUUUGAGCCACUACAAGCCUGAAACUUUAUCGAUUUUGGAAAAGUCGAAAAGAAAUCAUGGGCAAUUUGGGUUAAAAGCUAAAUACCUCUGGUUCUCCGAAGGUCCGGACUGAAACUAUGGCCACUGGGCGCCGGCGAAGAGAGACGGAGAAAGGGAGGGACUACAGAGAGGAGUGUUUUCUGUUGUCGAGGAUUACAGACAGGAAUUAGGAAGGAAGGUGAGUGGGAGGAAGAAGGGUUUAGAGUUAAAAUGGAUUUUGAUGCCACUUAACAAAUGAAGAUAGAUAAAAGAAAAAUAGGAGACUUGUAGAGAGACUAUUAAUAAAUAAAAGACAUGGAUUAUUAAUAAAUGAAGAUGGAUAAAAGAAAGAUAGAGUUGGUUUAUUAUUUUACAUUUAACAUUAUACUCAUUUUAUAUAUUUUUUUGUCAUUUCACACAAUCACAGCUCUUUUAUAUAAAAGUUUACCAAACACUAUCAUAUUGCUUGUUUUCUUUUCCAAAAGAACUUUUACAAAAAAAAUUUAUCAAACAUUCUGCUGUUUUAUUUCACAGCAGCUUAUUCUCAUAGCACAGCAGAAGUAGCUUAUUCUCAUAGCACAGCAGAAACAGUUUUUUCUCAUAGCAAAGCAGAAGAACCUUUUUUCAAAGCAGAGUAAUACCAAACCAGCCCUGAGACUAAUCCCAAAAACACAUUUAAUUUUCAGAUAACAAAUCUUCAUAAUCUAAAUCCACCAUAAUUACCAGGAACAAAACGCAAAUCACAAGGUGCUACAACCAUACGGUACUCGACCGAAAAUUAACCCCAUCAUUCGAUCUACAACUAAAACGAUAUUUACAGAACAGGCUACAAACAAAGGUGUCAUCUAGGUGUAUCUAACCAGACUAAAAAACAGAAGGGGGAGGAGGAGGAGGAGGAGAAGGGGGAGGAAGGGAAGGGAGGGUAAGUACCCUAACUGGAGGCGGCUGUGCAACUACAAUUUUUGAACAAAGCCUCAUCCGUCAUUAAUUUUUGGCAGACCCGAUAACAUUUCAAUCCUUCGUUACAGAUUGGUUGACCUCUGAUGUAUUAUCUUUCUGGCUUGGCGAAGGCACGGAUCCUCCUAUUUUCAACUCCCCACUUUGUUGUUGCUGCUGCUGUUGCUGUUGCGGAUGCUGAUGAUGCUGCUGCAUCUGUUGCUGCUGAAGUUGAUGGAGCUGAUGCUGCUGAAACUGGUGCUGCUGCUUCUGAGAAUGAAUCUGGAGCUGUUGAAACUGCUGUGCAGUUAGAAAAGUGUGCAUUGCUUGAUUGUUUGGACAGAACUGCUGCUGACCCGCCCCGCCAAAAGAAGCGUAGUUCAUCAUAGGUCCACCAUUUGGCAUAGCUUGGCCAGUCAUAACUUUCAGAUGCUGAAUUUCUUCUUUCAGUGCAUCGUUCAAUGCUAUGAGACAAACAAAAACAAUAUUGUUUCGGCAAGUCAAUUUCAUUCACAUAAGGACCAAGAACCAGAAGUUACAUGGAAUCGGAUCAGUGAGAAACCUAUGUUAUAGUAUUGUUCUGAUACUACACAAACAAGAUGCUACAGUCUAAUUUAUUUUUUUGGUUUCCUUUAUGUGCCA